This 492-nucleotide ribosomal RNA is filed under the name uncultured bacterium. Its description in RNAcentral is "partial 16S ribosomal RNA". It matches the Rfam family "Bacterial small subunit ribosomal RNA", at positions 29 to 507 of the family's 1533-position model. The record is from RNAcentral.
AGUGAACGCUGGCGGUAGGCCUAACACAUGCAAGUCGAACGGCAGCACAGUAAGAGCUUGCUCUUACGGGUGGCGAGUGGCGGACGGGUGAGGAAGACAUCGGAAUCUACUUUUUCGUGGGGGAUAACGUAGGGAAACUUACGCUAAUACCGCAUACGACCUUCGGGUGAAAGCAGGGGAUCUUCGGACCUUGCGCGAUUGAAUGAGCCGAGGUCGGAUUAGCUAGUUGGCGGGGUAAAGGCCCACCAAGGCGACGACCCGUGGCUGGUCUGAGAGGAUGAUCGGCCACACUGGACCUGGGCAACGGUCCAAACUCCUAGGGGAGGCAGAAGUGGGGAAUAUUGGACAAUGGGCGAAAGCCUGAUCCAGCCAUACCGCGUGGGUGAAGAAGGCCUUCGGGUUGUAAAGCCCUUUUGUUGGGAAAGAAAAGCAGCAGGUUAAAACCCCGCUGUUCUGACGGUACCCAAAGAAUAAGCACCGGCUAACUUCGUG